GACGAACGCUGGCGGCGUGCCUAAUACAUGCAAGUCGAGCGGAGUUUUUAAAAGCUUGCUUUUAAAAACUCAGCGGCGGACGGGUGAGUAACACGUGGGCAACCUGCCCUGUAGACUGGGAUAACUUCGGGAAACCGAAGCUAAUACCGGAUAAUCAUAGAAGUUGCAUAGCUUCUAUGUAAAAGUUGGGUUUACCUAACACUACAGGAUGGGCCCGCGUCGCAUUAGCUAGUUGGUAAGGUAACGGCUUACCAAGGCGACGAUGCGUAGCCGACCUGAGAGGGUGAUCGGCCACACUGGGACUGAGACACGGCCCAGACUCCUACGGGAGGCAGCAGUAGGGAAUCUUCCGCAAUGGACGAAAGUCUGACGGAGCAACGCCGCGUGAGCGAUGAAGGCCUUCGGGUCGUAAAGCUCUGUUGUUAGGGAAGAACAAGUGCUAUUCGAAUAGGGUGGCACCC
RNAcentral lists this ribosomal RNA (461 nucleotides) under Bacilli bacterium oral taxon C43. RNAcentral's name for it is "bacterial SSU rRNA". It matches the Rfam family "Bacterial small subunit ribosomal RNA", at positions 28 to 480 of the family's 1533-position model. The record is from RNAcentral. Lineage: Bacteria; Bacillati; Bacillota; Bacilli.